UUGCUGUGAUGACCAUCUUAGGACACCUUUGGAAAACCCAUGAAAAAAAAAUGGAAAUUGUCUUUCUGAGCAAC
Molecule: small nucleolar RNA, 74 nt
Organism: Indicator indicator
Lineage: Eukaryota; Metazoa; Chordata; Aves; Piciformes; Indicatoridae
Product: small nucleolar RNA SNORD58
Exons: 1
Source: RefSeq, a predicted model, not a curated record